AUGUGUUUUGUGGAUCUGGAGAAGGCGUAUGACCGGGUCCCCCGGGAGAAACUGUGGGAGGUGCUGCGGGAGUAUGGGGUAAGGGGGUCUAUCCUCAGGGCCAUCCAAUCUUUGUACUCCCAAAGCGAGAGCUGUGUUCGUGUUCUCGGCAGCCAGUCAGUUUCGUUCUCAGUGGGUGCUGGUCUCCGCCAGGGCUGCGCCUUGUCACCAAUCCUGUUUGUGAUAUACAUGGACAGGAUAUCGAGGCGUAGUCGUGGUGGGGAGGGGUUGCAGUUCGGUGGUCUGAGGAUCUCGUCACUGCUUUUUGCAGAUGAUGUGGUCCUCAUUGGAUCAUCGGCCUGUGACCUUCAGCACUCACUGGAUCGGCUGGCGGCCGAGUGUGAAGCGGCUGGGAUGAGGAUCAGCACCGCUAAAUCUGAGGCCAUGACUCUUAGCAGGAAACCGGUGGAUUGCUUACUCCGGGUAGGAAAUGAGUCCUUAGCCCAGGUGAAGGAGUUCAAGUACCUCGGGGUCUUGUUCGCGAGUGAGGGUACUAUGGAGCGUGAGAUUGGCCGGAGAAUCGGAGCAGCGGGGGCGGUAUUGCGUUCGCUUUACCGCACCGUUGUAACGAAAAGAGAGCUGAGCCGCAAGGCAAAGCUCUCGAUCUACCGGUCGAUCUUCGUUCCUAUCCUCACCUAUGGUCAUGAGGGCUGGGUGAUGACCGAAAGGACGAGAUCGCGGGUACAAGCGGCCGAGAUGAGUUUUCUCAGAAGGGUGGCUGGCGUCUCCCUUAGGGAUAGGGUGAGAAGCUCAGCCAUCCGUGAGGAACUCGGAUUAGAGCCGCUGCUCCUUUACUUAGAAAGGAGUCAGCUGAGGUGGUUCGGGCAUCUGGUAAGGAUGCCCACUGGGCGCCUUCCUUGGGAGGUGUUUCAGGCACGUCCAGUGGGGAGGAGACCUCGGGGAAGACCCAGGACUAGGUGGAGAGAUUAUAUCUCAACACUGGCCUGGGAACGCCUCGGGAUCCCCCCGUCAGAGCUGGUCAAUGUGGCCCGGGAAAGGGAAGUCUGGGGCCCCCUGCUUGAGCUGCUCCCCCCGCGACCCGACCCCGGAUAA
RNAcentral lists this long non-coding RNA (1092 nucleotides) under Gadus morhua (Atlantic cod). RNAcentral's name for it is "lncRNA (ENSGMOG00000027711.1)". The record is from RNAcentral. Lineage: Eukaryota; Metazoa; Chordata; Actinopteri; Gadiformes; Gadidae.